CAUUAACGUGUCUUUUUGAUUAUAAUUUAAAGUUGUCUCUGCCCAAUGAUUUUUUAAAUGGCCGCAGUAUUUUGACUGUGCGGAGGUAGCAUAAUCAAUAGUUUUUUAAUUGAGAACUGGUAUGAAAGAGUUGAUAAAAUAUAUACUUUAUUUAAUUAGAAUUUUAGAAUUUAUAAUUCUUAGUUAAAAUACUAAAAUUUAUUUAUGGGACGAGAAGACCCUUUAGAAUUUUAUAGAUUUAUUUUUAUAAAUAUUAAUAUUUAUUUUUAUAAAUUUAAAUUUAUUUUGUUGGGAGGAUAGUUAAAUUUAUUUAACUUUAAUAAUAUAAUUUACAAUAAUUAUUGAAUUAAUGAUUUUAAUUUUUAAUUUUUAGAUUAAAUUACCUAAGGGAUAACAGCGUAAUAUUUUUGGAGAGUUCAUAUUGAUAAAAAUGUUUGCGACCUCAGUUUAA
RNAcentral lists this ribosomal RNA (451 nucleotides) under Goniozus akitsushimanus. Its description in RNAcentral is "partial 16S ribosomal RNA". Lineage: Eukaryota; Metazoa; Arthropoda; Insecta; Hymenoptera; Bethylidae. The record is from RNAcentral.